RNAcentral lists this ribosomal RNA (397 nucleotides) under uncultured bacterium. Its description in RNAcentral is "bacterial SSU rRNA". It matches the Rfam family "Bacterial small subunit ribosomal RNA", at positions 29 to 418 of the family's 1533-position model. The record is from RNAcentral.
AACGAACGCUGGCGGCGCGCCUAACACAUGCAAGUCGAACGAGAAGCUGUAGCAAUACAGUUGUACAGUGGCGAACGGGUGAGGAAUACAUGGGUGACCUACCCUCGAGUGGGGAAUAACCAGCCGAAAGGUUGGCUAAUACCGCGUACGUUUCCCAGUUUACGGAUUGGGAAGGAAAGCGAUGCCAUGGGUAUCGCGCUCAAGGUUGGGCUCAUGUCCUAUCAGCUUGUUGGGAGGUAACGGCUCACCAAGGCAACGACGGGUAGCUGGUCUGAGAGGACGAUCAGCCACACUGGCACUGCGACACGGGCCAGACUCCUACGGGAGGCAGCAGUGAGAAUAUUGCGCAAUGGGCGAAAGCCUGACGCAGCGACGCCGCGUGGGGGAUGAAGGUCUU